Apis florea (little honeybee) is the source of this 998-nucleotide long non-coding RNA. Lineage: Eukaryota; Metazoa; Arthropoda; Insecta; Hymenoptera; Apidae. The record is from RefSeq and is a predicted model, not a curated record.
UUUUUUUUUUUUGCUCAAACGACGCGACAUCUGCGAGCUUAAAUUCCACCGGCGUGUUUCGGUAUCUUUCGGCAUCUCGUGAAUUUUUUGAAAUCACAUUGCCGCCGCUUGGUUCCCGAGAGGAACGAACGAAAAUAUGGGCGCCAGGAAUUCGCCUGCGAAUCGCGAAGAAUUCGGUGAACCUGCAACGCGGCAUAUGCUUGGAUAUACGUUGCUACCUUGAUACAUACCUGCUAAACUGUUCAUGAGAGCAUUCACGGAAGCGCCAUAUGCGUGGUCGAUUAGGUUAUGGGUAGCAACCCCACAUGGUCUUUGGCGAGGAAGGAAGGUGGUGGCGCGCACGCAUAAAUUCCCUUCCUCUAGGUCGAGUGCUACCUGUGCGUUAUAUUGUGCAGCGCGCGCGCGCGCGCGCGCGUACACACGUCAGCCGGUAACGAAAUGCCAACACGUGGAAAUCGAUAUAUUUCCAAGGUGGACCUGUGUAUUUGCAUUUUAAUACUACACCGUGUUAUUUAAAAUUUUAUGUUUAUCGUUAAAUUUGUCAUCGCUCUAUUUGUUUUCUUCUUUUCACGCACAAAAUGCGUCUCGUCUACUUCUAUCGGGUGGUUAUAUCGAGUUGGGAGUAAAUAAAAGUAAGUAUUCAAUUAUCGUAUCCUAAAUUGGAAAAUGGUAAUUAUGUCCUUGCUAUAUUUUGCAGUUAAAGAGUAUCGUCUUUCGAUCUUGUUCCGAAGCUUUUUCCUUUUUUCUGGCCCGGGCCGUUCAUUAGCCGACAAUGUUUUCAUUAAUGAAGAAAAAUCGAUUCUCCGAUCGACCUCGAGAAAUCUUGUCCAACCGUGAAAAAAAAGAAAGAUACAACGCGAUCUCUCUUCAGUGUUAAUUUCACGAUAAUUAUCGGUGAUGUGGCCAGUUAGCCUGACCGACGUGGUUCAAGAAUAUAAUUACGGAACAAAUUGUCCAUUCAAAGGUUCAAGGUAAUAAAGCCAUCACCGACUGAAAAA